Molecule: ribosomal RNA, 638 nt
Filed under: bacterium YN08B-2
Lineage: Bacteria
Description: bacterial SSU rRNA
Rfam family: Bacterial small subunit ribosomal RNA
Source: RNAcentral
UUGCACCUGGUGGCGAGUGGCGAACGGGUGAGUAAUACAUCGGAACAUGUCCUGUAGUGGGGGAUAGCCCGGCGAAAGCCGGAUUAAUACCGCAUACGAUCUACGGAUGAAAGCGGGGGACCUUCGGGCCUCGCGCUAUAGGGUUGGCCGAUGGCUGAUUAGCUAGUUGGUGGGGUAAAGGCCUACCAAGGCGACGAUCAGUAGCUGGUCUGAGAGGACGACCAGCCACACUGGGACUGAGACACGGCCCAGACUCCUACGGGAGGCAGCAGUGGGGAAUUUUGGACAAUGGGCGAAAGCCUGAUCCAGCAAUGCCGCGUGUGUGAAGAAGGCCUUCGGGUUGUAAAGCACUUUUGUCCGGAAAGAAAUCCCUGGCUCUAAUACAGUCGGGGGAUGACGGUACCGGAAGAAUAAGCACCGGCUAACUACGUGCCAGCAGCCGCGGUAAUACGUAGGGUGCGAGCGUUAAUCGGAAUUACUGGGCGUAAAGCGUGCGCAGGCGGUCUGUUAAGACAGAUGUGAAAUCCCCGGGCUCAACCUGGGAACUGCAUUUGUGACUGGCAGGCUAGAGUAUGGCAGAGGGGGGUAGAAUUCCACGUGUAGCAGUGAAAUGCGUAGAGAUGUGGAGGAAUACCGAU